RNAcentral lists this ribosomal RNA (312 nucleotides) under uncultured Bacillota bacterium. RNAcentral's name for it is "bacterial SSU rRNA". It matches the Rfam family "Bacterial small subunit ribosomal RNA", at positions 28 to 351 of the family's 1533-position model. Lineage: Bacteria; Bacillati; Bacillota. The record is from RNAcentral.
GAUGAACGCUGGCGGCGUGCCUAACACAUGCAAGUCGAGCGAACCCUUCGGGGUGAGCGGCGGACGGGUGAGUAACGCGUGGGUAACCUGCCCUAUACACACGGAUAACGUACCGAAAGGUACGCUAAUACGAGAUGAUAUAUUUUUAUCGCAUGGUAGAAAUAUCAAAGCUCCGGCGGUAUAGGAUGGACCCGCGUCUGAUUAGCUAGUUGGUAAGGUAAUGGCUUACCAAGGCGACGAUCAGUAGCCGACCUGAGAGGGUGAUCGGCCACAUUGGAACUGAGACACGGUCCAAACUCCUACGGGUGGCAG